This 330-nucleotide ribosomal RNA is filed under the name uncultured bacterium. Its description in RNAcentral is "bacterial SSU rRNA". It matches the Rfam family "Bacterial small subunit ribosomal RNA", at positions 568 to 898 of the family's 1533-position model. The record is from RNAcentral.
CGUGUAGGCGGUACCAUUAGUCAGAUGUGAAAGCCCUGGGCUUAACCUAGGAGGUGCAUUUGAUACUGUGGAACUUGAGAUCGAGAGAGGAAAGUGGAAUUACGAGUGUAGAGGUGAAAUUCGUAGAUAUUCGUAAGAACACCAGUGGCGAAGGCGGCUUUCUGGCUCGAUACUGACGCUAAGACGCGAAAGCGUGGGGAGCAAACAGGAUUAGAUACCCUGGUAGUCCACGCUGUAAACGAUGAGUGCUAGAUGUUGGCGGAGGAAUUCGUCAGUGUCGCAGCUAACGCGUUAAGCACUCCGCCUGGGGAGUACGGUCGCAAGAUUAAA